Molecule: transfer RNA, 84 nt
Filed under: Bacteriovoracales bacterium
Lineage: Bacteria; Pseudomonadati; Bdellovibrionota; Bacteriovoracia; Bacteriovoracales
Description: tRNA-Leu
Rfam family: tRNA
About the family: Transfer RNA (tRNA) molecules are approximately 80 nucleotides in length. Their secondary structure includes four short double-helical elements and three loops (D, anti-codon, and T loops). Further hydrogen bonds mediate the characteristic L-shaped molecular structure. tRNAs have two regions of fundamental functional importance: the anti-codon, which is responsible for specific mRNA codon recognition, and the 3' end, to which the tRNAs corresponding amino acid is attached (by aminoacyl-tRNA synthetases). tRNAs cope with the degeneracy of the genetic code in two manners: having more than one tRNA (with a specific anti-codon) for a particular amino acid; and 'wobble' base-pairing, i.e. permitting non-standard base-pairing at the 3rd anti-codon position.
Source: RNAcentral
GCCCGAAUGGUGAAAUUGGUAGACACGCUAGACUUAGGAUCUAGUGCCUUUGGCGUGGGGGUUCAAGUCCCUCUUCGGGCACCA